Long non-coding RNA from Thunnus maccoyii (southern bluefin tuna), 169 nucleotides. RefSeq lists it as uncharacterized. Lineage: Eukaryota; Metazoa; Chordata; Actinopteri; Scombriformes; Scombridae. The transcript has 2 exons. The record is from RefSeq and is a predicted model, not a curated record.
AAUAGGGUUGGGUCACUCAAAUGAUGCAGUUCCCCUUUGGGCCAGUCAUAAAGUCGAUGAACAAGACACUUCCCCACCAACUUCUGUGGCUGACUUCUGAUGUCCGUUUGGAGGGAGACAAGAGAGAAGAUCAUUUUCCUACAAGGAUCAAUAAAGUAUUGCAAAAUCA